This 76-nucleotide non-coding RNA is filed under the name unclassified sequences. Its description in RNAcentral is "L2-Alphaproteobacteria ribosomal protein leader". It matches the Rfam family "L2-Alphaproteobacteria ribosomal protein leader". The record is from RNAcentral.
GGGCACCUACGGGGGCCUUUUUACAUCAGGAUCGGGGCCGCGCGCCUUCGGUCCGCCAAGCAAACGGAAGAAGCUA